AUUGCCCUGCUGUGCACGUGAUGCCGCACGACCGGUUUUGAGCCAACACCUAUCACGAGGGUUCCGACUCAUCCUUGCGAAACGCGAUAGGCUGCGGCCAAGGCGGAUCCAAGGUGGAGGGACCCAAAUCCUGCGAGAGCAGGUUCAAAACUACGCAGCACACGGCACGGCGGGGUCUUU
Molecule: non-coding RNA, 180 nt
Organism: Thermanaerothrix daxensis
Lineage: Bacteria; Bacillati; Chloroflexota; Anaerolineae; Anaerolineales; Anaerolineaceae
Rfam family: 6S / SsrS RNA
About the family: E. coli 6S RNA was the first non coding RNA to be sequenced, but its function was unknown until recently.
Source: Rfam